Long non-coding RNA from Oncorhynchus keta (chum salmon), 2875 nucleotides. RefSeq lists it as uncharacterized. The transcript is spliced from 7 exons. NCBI's taxonomy places the organism in Eukaryota, Metazoa, Chordata, Actinopteri, Salmoniformes, Salmonidae. The record is from RefSeq and is a predicted model, not a curated record.
AAAUGACAGCAGUGAUGUCCUCUCUCUGUCUACUGGGACCAGGUUGAAAUGACAGCAGCGAUGUCCUCUCUCUGGGAGCAGGUUGAAAUGACAGCAGUGAUGUCCUCUCUCUGUCUACUGGGAGCAGGUUGAAAUGACAGCAGCGAUGUCCUCUCUCUGGGAGCAGGUUGAAAUGACAGCAGUGAUGUCCUCUCUCUGGGAGCAGGUUGAAAUGACAGCAGUGAUGUCCUCUCUCUGUCUACUGGGAGCAGGUUGAAAUGACAGCAGCGAUGUCCUCUCUCUGGGAGCAGGUUGAAAUGACAGCAGUGAUGUCCUCUCUCUGUCUAUUGGGAGCAGGUUGAAAUGACAGCAGCGAUGUCCUCUCUCUGGGAGCAGGUUGAAAUGACAGCAGUGAUGUCCUCUCUCUGGGAGCAGGUUGAAAUGACAGCAGUGAUGUCCUCUCUCUGUCUACUGGGAGCAGGUUGAAAUGACAGCAGCGAUGUCCUCUCUCUGGGAGCAGGUUGAAAUGACAGCAGUGAUGUCCUCUCUCUGGGAGCAGGUUGAAAUGACAGCAGCGAUGUCCUCUCUCUGUCUACUGGGAGCAGGUUGAAAUGACAGCAGCGAUGUCCUCUCUCUGGGAGCAGGUUGAAAUGACAGCAGCGAUGUCCUCUCUCUGUCUACUGGGAGCAGGUUGAAAUGACAGCAGUGAUGUCCUCUCUCUGUCUACUGGGAGCAGGUUGAAAUGACAGCAGCGAUGUCCUCUCUCUGGGAGCAGGUUGAAAUGACAGCAGUGAUGUCCUCUCUCUGGGAGCAGGUUGAAAUGACAGCAGUGAUGUCCUCUCUCUGUCUACUGGGAGCAGGUUGAAAUGACAGAAGUGAUGUCCUCUCUCUGUCUAUUGGGAGCAGGUUGAAAUGACAGCAGUGAUGUCCUCUCUCUGUCUAUUGGGAGCAGGUUGAAAUGACAGCAGUGAUGUCCUCUCUGUCUAUUGGGAGCAGGUUGAAAUGACAGCAGUGAUGUCCUCUCUCUGGGAGCAGGUUGAAAUGACAGCAGUGAUGUCCUCUCUCUGGGAGCAGGUUGAAAUGACAGCAGUGAUGUCCUCUCUCUGGGAGCAGGUUGAAAUGACAGCAGCGAUGUCCUCUCUCUGGGAGCAGGUUGAAAUGACAGCAGUGAUGUCCUCUCUCUGUCUAUUGGGAGCAGGUUGAAAUGACAGCAGUGAUGUCCUCUCUCUGGGAGCAGGUUGAAAUGACAGCAGUGAUGUCCUCUCUCUGUCUAUUGGGAGCAGGUUGAAAUGACAGCAGUGAUGUCCUCUCUCUGGGAGCAGGUUGAAAUGACAGCAGUGAUGUCCUCUCUCUGUCUAUUGGGAGCAGGUUGAAAUGACAGCAGCGAUGUCCUCUCUCUGUCUAUUGGGAGCAGGUUGAAAUGACAGCAGCGAUGUCCUCUCUCUGGGAGCAGGUUGAAAUGACAGCAGCGAUGUCCUCUCUCUGUCUAUUGGGAACAGGUUGAAAUGACAGCAGCGAUGUCCUCUCUCUGGGAGCAGGUUGACAUGACAGCAGUGAUGUCCUCUCUCUGGGAGCAGGUUGAAAUGACAGCAGUGAUGUCCUCUCUCUGUCUAUUGGGAGCAGGUUGAAAUGACAGCAGUGAUGUCCUCUCUCUGGGAGCAGGUUGAAAUGACAGCAGUGAUGUCCUCUCUCUGUCUAUUGGGAGCAGGUUGAAAUGACAGCAGCGAUGUCCUCUCUCUGUCUAUUGGGAGCAGGUUGAAAUGACAGCAGCGAUGUCCUCUCUCUGGGAGCAGGUUGAAAUGACAGCAGCGAUGUCCUCUCUCUGUCUAUUGGGAACAGGUUGAAAUGACAGCAGCGAUGUCCUCUCUCUGGGAGCAGGUUGACAUGACAGCAGUGAUGUCCUCUCUCUGGGAGCAGGUUGAAAUGACAGCAGUGAUGUCCUCUCUCUGGGAGCAGGUUGAAAUGACAGCAGUGAUGUCCUCUCUCUGUCUAUUGGGAGCAGGUUGAAAUGACAGCAGCGAUGUCCUCUCUCUGUCUAUUGGGAGCAGGUUGAAAUGACAGCAGCGAUGUCCUCUCUCUGGGAGCAGGUUGAAAUGACAGCAGCGAUGUCCUCUCUCUGUCUAUUGGGAACAGGUUGAAAUGACAGCAGCGAUGUCCUCUCUCUGGGAGCAGGUUGACAUGACAGCAGUGAUGUCCUCUCUCUGGGAGCAGGUUGAAAUGACAGCAGUGAUGUCCUCUCUCUGUCUAUUGGGAGCAGGUUGAAAUGACAGCAGUGAUGUCCUCUCUCUGUCUACUGGGAGCAGGUUGAAAUGACAGCAGUGAUGUCCUCUCUCUGUCUAUUGGGAGCAGGUUGAAAUGACAGCAGUGAUGUCCUCUCUCUGUCUACUGGGAGCAGGUUGAAAUGACAGCAGCGAUGUCCUCUGUCUAUUGGGAGCAGGUUGAAAUGACAGCAGCGAUGUCCUCUCUCUGGGAGCAGGUUGACAUGACAGCAGUGAUGUCCUCUCUCUGGGAGCAGGUUGAAAUGACAGCAGUGAUGUCCUCUCUCUGUCUAUUGGGAGCAGGUUGAAAUGACAGCAGUGAUGUCCUCUCUCUGGGAGCAGGUUGAAAUGACAGCAGUGAUGUCCUCUCUCUGUCUAUUGGGAGCAGGUUGAAAUGACAGCAGCGAUGUCCUCUCUCUGGGAGCAGGUUGAAAUGACAGCAGUGAUGUCCUCUCUCUGGGAGCAGGUUGAAAUGACAGCAGUGAUGUCCUCUCUCUGUCUACUGGGAGCAGGUUGAAAUGACAGCAGUGAUGUCCUCUCUCUGUCUAUUGGGAGCAGGUUGAAAUGACAGCAGUGAUGUCCUCUUUCUGUCUACUGGGACCAGGUUGAAAUGACAGCAGCGAUGUCCUCUCUCUGGG